UGACUCGAAUGAGAACUUGUGCGUGGUUGACUUGCAGAAUUGCAGUAACUAUGAACCAAUUAUGUCCUUCAGUUGACCCUUACAAAAGGGCAUUAAAUGGGGUUCACACAAAGUAAACGUUCUUUGAAGUUUUGAAUGUCUAGCUGGUCCUGAUGUUCAUCCAUACUGUGCAGCAGGUAUCUGCUACAUCUUAUCAUCACACAAAUAUCAAUACCGAUAAUUUUGUCCACCAAAGCUUGAGAAAAGGUGACCAACUUGAACAAAUACACACGUCGACUCAAGUUUUUGCAAAAGAUUUACCACAACCAGGUAAGCUUAAGGCAAUAAUAUGCAAUUCUCUAUAGUAACAUGUGAAGACAAAUAGGAAAAUUAUUGGAUCCUUUCCUUUAUUUGUACUUUAUUUGCAUAUUAACACAGCUCAAUUUUGUGCCG
Molecule: non-coding RNA, 432 nt
Organism: Solanum lycopersicum (tomato)
Lineage: Eukaryota; Viridiplantae; Streptophyta; Magnoliopsida; Solanales; Solanaceae
Source: RefSeq, a predicted model, not a curated record